GACAAACAUGUAGGAGAGAAAGCGCCAUGCCUCCUUCCUGGACUCAGGCUUGUAUGAGAGCGGGCUGUUCCAGAUGCCUUCAUCCAGGGUCACCCACUGCUUCUGAGGCUUCCACACAGCGUAGUAGAUAAACACUGCCAGCUGAUGAAGACCAGAAUAUACACACAAGGCAAGAGCUACCUCUGCAAUACUGAUGAGGAUGAUGAAGAUGGGCGGUGGGAAGCAGUUGGCCCGUUCCAGGCUGGUCUUCUUCACCCCUAAACCGUCUCCCAUCUCGGUCCACGGGGAACGGCUCCUCCUGCUCGACGUCGAUGUCCUCCAUCACUGCUCCAGUCCUACACAGCAGAUUCAAUAGUCGGAGUUAAAGAUGA
Molecule: long non-coding RNA, 371 nt
Organism: Perca flavescens (yellow perch)
Lineage: Eukaryota; Metazoa; Chordata; Actinopteri; Perciformes; Percidae
Exons: 3
Source: RefSeq, a predicted model, not a curated record